Molecule: ribosomal RNA, 505 nt
Filed under: uncultured bacterium
Lineage: Bacteria
Description: partial 16S ribosomal RNA
Rfam family: Bacterial small subunit ribosomal RNA
Source: RNAcentral
GACGAACGCUGGCGGCGUGCCUAAUACAUGCAAGUAGAACGCACAGUUUAUACCGUAGCUUGCUACACCAUAGACUGUGAGUUGCGAACGGGUGAGUAACGCGUAGGUAACCUGCCUGGUAGCGGGGGAUAACUAUUGGAAACGAUAGCUAAUACCGCAUAAUAUUAAUUAUUGCAUGAUAAUUAAUUGAAAGGUGCAAUUGCACCACUACCAGAUGGACCUGCGUUGUAUUAGCUAGUAGGUGAGGUAACGGCUCACCUAGGCGACGAUACAUAGCCGACCUGAGAGGGUGAGCGGCCACACUGGGACGGAGACACGGCCCAGAGUCCUAGGGGAGGGAGCAGUAGGGAAUCUUCGGCAAUGGACGAGAGUCUGACCGAGCAACGCCGCGUGAGUGAAGAAGGUUUUCGGAUCGUAAAGCUCUGUUGUAAGAGAAGAACGGGUGUGAGAGUGGAAAGUUCACACUGUGACGGUAUCUUACCAGAAAGGGACGGCUAACUACGUG